GUUAGGAAUAUUGGACAAUGGGCGCAAGCCUGAUCCAGCCAUGCCGCGUGAACGAUGAAGGCCUUCGGGUUGUAAAGUUCUUUAGCCGAUGAUUAUAAUGACUGUAGUCGGAAAAUAAGCCCCGGCUAACUUCGUGCCAGCAGCCGCGGUAAUACGAAGGGGGCGAGCGUUAUUCGGAAUCACUGGGCGUAAAGCGUGCGUAGGCGGUUUUGUAAGUUAGGAGUGAAAGCCCAGGGCUCAACCUUGGAAUUGCUCUUAAAACUGCAAGGCUCGAAUCUCGGAGAGGAUAGCGGAAUUUCCAGUGUAGCAGUGAAAUGCGUAGAUAUUGGAAGGAACACCAGUGGCGUAAGCGGCUAUCUGGACGAGUAUUGACGCUGAGGCACGAAAGCGUGGGGAUCAAACAGGAUUAGAAACCCGGGUAGUCC
RNAcentral lists this ribosomal RNA (425 nucleotides) under uncultured bacterium. RNAcentral describes it as "partial 16S ribosomal RNA". It matches the Rfam family "Bacterial small subunit ribosomal RNA", at positions 354 to 796 of the family's 1533-position model. The record is from RNAcentral.